Molecule: non-coding RNA, 788 nt
Organism: Paramuricea clavata
Lineage: Eukaryota; Metazoa; Cnidaria; Anthozoa; Malacalcyonacea; Plexauridae
Source: the annotation of a GenBank genome assembly
UGAAUCAUGUUGUCCUUCUUAAGCCCCGCUCCCCCAAGUCAAUGUUGAGCUUGUGUCAUGGUAUACGGCGUGUUUUAAAUACAACAUUAGGGACCUUUAGCUAGCAGGACGACGACGGCUAUUAAUACAAUGAAAUUUAUGACAGCGUAGAAAGAAAAUGCAUAAUUAAAGGUCCCAUGCAUGGGUUAGACACCUUACGAUUUUAGGACGGCAACCGCGACGGCAACGGCUACCAAUACAAUAGAUCAUUGAGAAGAAUUGAGUAAUUACAAUAAAUGAAUAAUUUAGACAUUGUCCUCGCUCUGCUUAAAACGCCAAAUCACAGAUUUUCACGUGUUGAUACAGCGACUGCAUUCCAAGCCACAACAAGUGCAACUUCAAACGGGGUUUAGCAGAACUCUUCCCAACCAUAAAACCCAUGUCUUCAACUUCUAAGACUGUAUUAAAUUCAUACGAUUGAUAAUAUACGACGAACUAUCGACUACCAUUUAUUUGAAGGAGUUUGUUUUGGCCGUCGCCGUCGCGGUUGCCGUUCUAAAAUCGUAAGGUCUCUGAUUACAACAGCAAACCAAAGAUUUUCACGUUUUGUACACAACGUCUGCCUUUCAAGCCGCGAGAAGUCGUCCUCGCCAAAUUGACUUAGUAGAAGUCUUCUCAACUAUAAACCUCUGUCUUAACCUUCUUAAAUUGCAAUAAAUUCAAACAACGGAUAAUACAAGACAUGUUGAUCUUAAAGUUACUUAUUCGAACGAGUUUAUUUUGGCCGUCGUCGUCGCGUUGCCGUCACC